This 427-nucleotide ribosomal RNA is filed under the name uncultured bacterium. RNAcentral's name for it is "bacterial SSU rRNA". It matches the Rfam family "Bacterial small subunit ribosomal RNA", at positions 28 to 460 of the family's 1533-position model. The record is from RNAcentral.
GAUGAACGCUGGCGGCGCGCCUAAUACAUGCAAGUCGAGCGAUGAGGCCCCUUCGGGGGUACAUCAGCGGCGGACGGGUGAGUGACACGUAGGUGACCUGCCCCGAAGACGGGGACAACCACUGGAAACGGUGGCUAAUACCCGAUGUGCUCGGUAAUUCGGUUUAUCGAGUAAAGCUCCGGCGCUUCGGGAUGGACCUGCGGCCUAUCAGCUAGUUGGUGGGGUAACGGCCCACCAAGGCUAAGACGGGUAGGGGGCGUGAGAGCGCGAUCCCCCACACUGGCACUGAGACACGGGCCAGACUCCUACGGGAGGCAGCAGUCGGGGAUAUUGCACAAUCGGCGAAAGCCGGAUGCAGCGACGCCGCGUGGGCGAUGAAGGCCUUCGGGUUGUAAAGCCCUUUUCUGGGGGAAGAGAAAGGACGUAC